AGUUGCUCCUAGUACGAGAGGACCGGAGUGAACGAACCUCUGGUGUUCGGGUUGUCACGCCAGUGGCACUGCCCGGUAGCUAAGUUCGGAAUCGAUAACCGCUGAAAGCAUCUAAGCGGGAAGCGAGCCCUGAGAUGAGUCAUCCCUGACCCCUUGAGGGUCCUAAAGGGCCGUUGGAGACCACAACGUUGAUAGGCGGGGUGUGUAAGUGCAGCGAUGCAUUGAGCUAACCCGUACUAAUUACCCGUGAGGCUUAACCAUACAACACCCAAGAAGUGUUCU
Molecule: ribosomal RNA, 282 nt
Filed under: Aeromonas salmonicida
Lineage: Bacteria; Pseudomonadati; Pseudomonadota; Gammaproteobacteria; Aeromonadales; Aeromonadaceae
Description: partial 23S ribosomal RNA
Rfam family: Bacterial large subunit ribosomal RNA
Source: RNAcentral